AUUGAACGCUGGCGGCAGGCCUAACACAUGCAAGUCGAACGGGUGGCGGACGGGUGAGUAAUGUCUGGGAAACUGCCUGAUGUAGGGGGAUAACUACUGGAAACGGUAGCUAAUACCGCAUACCAUCAGAUGUGCCCAGAUGGGAUUAGCUAGUUGGUGGGGUAACGGCUCACCACGGCGACGAUCCCUAGCUGGUCUGAGAGGAUGACCAGCCACACUGGGACUGAGACACGGUCCAGACUCCGACGGGAGGCAGCAGUGGGGAAUAUUGGACAAUGGGCGCAAGUCUGAUGCAGCCAUGCCGCGUGUGUGAAGAAGGUCUUCGGGUUGUAAAGUACUGUUGUCGGAGAAGCGUUAUCCGAAGAGGAAGCACCGGCUAACUCCGUGCCAGCAGCCGCGGUAAUAC
This 406-nucleotide ribosomal RNA is filed under the name uncultured bacterium. RNAcentral's name for it is "partial 16S ribosomal RNA". It matches the Rfam family "Bacterial small subunit ribosomal RNA", at positions 30 to 526 of the family's 1533-position model. The record is from RNAcentral.